UACGGAGGAUGCGAGCGUUAUCCGGAUUUAUUGGGUUUAAAGGGUGCGUAGGCGGACGCUUAAGUCAGCGGUAAAAUUGCGGGGCUCAACCUCGUCGAGCCGUUGAAACUGGGUGCCUUGAGUGGGCGAGAAGUACGCGGAAUGCGUGGUGUAGCGGUGAAAUGCAUAGAUAUCACGCAGAACUCCGAUUGCGAAGGCAGCGUACCGGCGCCCUACUGACGCUGAAGCACGAAGGCGUGGGUAUCGAACGGG
RNAcentral lists this ribosomal RNA (252 nucleotides) under uncultured bacterium. RNAcentral describes it as "partial 16S ribosomal RNA". It matches the Rfam family "Bacterial small subunit ribosomal RNA", at positions 524 to 776 of the family's 1533-position model. The record is from RNAcentral.